Molecule: long non-coding RNA, 377 nt
Filed under: Cyanistes caeruleus (blue tit)
Lineage: Eukaryota; Metazoa; Chordata; Aves; Passeriformes; Paridae
Description: lncRNA (ENSCCEG00000009025.1)
Source: RNAcentral
CUGUGCACCAAAGAAGACUGAGAAGCACAAAAAUAUUAUGAAAAAUCUUACCAAAUCCCUUUUGUUGAGAGUCCUACUUGAUAUUCUCUUAAGCAGGCAGGAAGGAGUAAGUCCCUCUCCAAAGGAGACUCAGGAGGAGUUGCUGUGCAUAGUUAUUUCAUGAUGAAUGCUGCAGCUCUUCUUGCUGAGCACAGAUCCAGAGAGGAGAAAGGAGACAAACCUCCAGGUUUACAGCAGAUCAGAGGAAGGAAAAUCAAUCUGUGUGGGGCACUGAGCACGGCUGCAAUAAAGGAGAAAGAAAUAAAGCAGACAGUGAAAAACGACGUGUUCUCUCCAGAAGGGAAAGCAGAAGCCUCAAGCCAAAGUCCAAAGGUUAG